This 743-nucleotide long non-coding RNA is filed under the name Rattus norvegicus (Norway rat). RNAcentral describes it as "long non-coding RNA NONRATT014477". The record is from RNAcentral. Lineage: Eukaryota; Metazoa; Chordata; Mammalia; Rodentia; Muridae.
UGCUGUCACUUGAGUUUUCGAUCUUAGCCAUUCUGAGGGGAGUAAGGUGGAAUCUCAGGGCAGAUUCGAUUUGCACUUCCCUGAUGACUAAGGGUGUUGAACAUGUCUUUAAGUGCUUCUCAGGCAUUCAAGAUCCUCUGUUGAGAAUCCUCUCUUUAGAUCAGUACCCCAUUUCAUAAGUGGGUUACUUGGAUUGUUGAUGUCUAACUUGAGUUCUUUAUAUAUUUUAGACAUUAGAACUCUGUCCGAUGCAGGAAUCAUGAAGAUCCUUUUCCAAUCUGUAGGCUGCUGUUUUGUCCUAUUGAAAGUGUCCUUUGCCUUACAGAAACUUUUCAGAUGCAUGUGGUUCUGUUUAUCAAUUAUUGGUCUUAGAGCCUGAGCCACUGGUGCUCUAUUCAGGAAGUUAUCUCCUAUACCAAUGAGCUCAGUCUGUUCUAUUAUAUUUAGGGUUUCCUGUUUCAUGUCGAGGUCUUCAAUCCACUUGGAUUUGAGUUUUGUGCAAGGUGAUAGAUAUGGAUCUAUUUUUCAUUUUUCUACAUGUAGACAUCCAGUCAGUCUAGCACCAUUUGUUGAAGAUGCUUUCUCUCCCCCACUGUAUGGUUUUGGUUUCUUUAUCAAAAGUGUACAUAGAUGUGUGGUUAUAUUUCAGGGAUUUGAUUCCAGUGAUCAAUCAGUCUGUUCCUAUGCCAAUAACAUGCAGUUUUCAUUACUAUUGCUAUGUGGUAUGGAUUGAGGUCAGGGAU